GACACAGGACACUUCUGGUGUGUAUGUAUG
RNAcentral lists this non-coding RNA (30 nucleotides) under Rattus norvegicus (Norway rat). Lineage: Eukaryota; Metazoa; Chordata; Mammalia; Rodentia; Muridae. The record is from RNAcentral.